Molecule: ribosomal RNA, 495 nt
Filed under: uncultured bacterium
Lineage: Bacteria
Description: partial 16S ribosomal RNA
Rfam family: Bacterial small subunit ribosomal RNA
Source: RNAcentral
GACGAACGCUGGCGGCGUGCCUAAUACAUGCAAGUCGAACGCUGAAGGAGGAGCUUGCUUCUCUGGAUGAGUUGCGAACGGGUGAGUAACGCGUAGGUAACCUGCCUGGUAGCGGGGGAUAACUAUUGGAAACGAUAGCUAAUACCGCAUAAGAGUAGAUGUCGCAUGACAUUUGCUUAAAAGGUGCAAUUGCAUCACUACCAGAUGGACCUGCGUUGUAUUAGCUAGUUGGUGAGGUAACGGCUCACCAAGGCAACGAUACAUAGCCGACCUGAGAGGGUGAUCGGCCACACUGGGACUGAGACACGGCCCAGACUCCUACGGGAGGCAGCAGUAGGGAAUCUUCGGCAAUGGACGGAAGUCUGACCGAGCAACGCCGCGUGAGUGAAGAAGGUUUUCGGAUCGUAAAGCUCUGUUGUAAGAGAAGAACGAGUGUGAGAGUGGAAAGUUCACACUGUGACGGUAGCUGACCAGAAAGGGACGGCUAACUACGUG